RNAcentral lists this RNase P RNA (388 nucleotides) under Propionibacterium cyclohexanicum. RNAcentral describes it as "Bacterial RNase P class A". It matches the Rfam family "Bacterial RNase P class A". From Rfam's summary of the family: Ribonuclease P (RNase P) is a ubiquitous endoribonuclease, found in archaea, bacteria and eukarya as well as chloroplasts and mitochondria. Its best characterised activity is the generation of mature 5'-ends of tRNAs by cleaving the 5'-leader elements of precursor-tRNAs. The record is from Rfam by way of RNAcentral. Lineage: Bacteria; Bacillati; Actinomycetota; Actinomycetes; Propionibacteriales; Propionibacteriaceae.
CGAGUCGGCCAGAUGACCGCGGUGCCUUGGCGCUGAGGAAAGUCCGGACUCCACAGGGCAGGGUGGUGGAUAACAUCCACCCGGGGUGACCCGCGGGACAGUGUCACAGAAAACAAACCGCCCGAGCAAUCGGGUAAGGGUGAAACGGCGGUGCAAGAGACCACCGCGUCGCAGGUGACUGCGGCGGCAUGGCAAACCCCACCCGGAGCAAGACCAAGAAGGACCUUCGGGUCCGCGCAGGCGUUCGAGGGCUGCCCGCCCGAGUCUGCGGGUAGGUUGCACGCCCGGUGCGCGAGUGCCGGGGGAAGGCCGCUGGCAACAGCGGUCGCAGAUGGAUGGUCAUCGGCUCAUCGAGCCACAGAAUCCGGCUUAUCGGCCGACUCGUCAC